GUGGGGAAUAUUGGACAAUGGGCGAAAGCCUGAUCCAGCCAUGCCGCGUGUGUGAAGAAGGUCUUCGGAUUGUAAAGCACUUUAAGUUGGGAGGAAGGGCAGUAAGUUAAUACCUUGCUGUUUUGACGUUACCGACAGAAUAAGCACCGGCUAACUUCGUGCCAGCAGCCGCGGUAAUACGAAGGGUGCAAGCGUUAAUCGGAAUUACUGGGCGUAAAGCGCGCGUAGGUGGUUUUGUAAGUUGGAGGUGAAAUCCCCGGGCUCAACCUGGGAACUGCCUCCAAAACUGCAUGACUAGAGUACGGUAGAGGGUAGUGGAAUUUCCUGUGUAGCGGUGAAAUGCGUAGAUAGAGGAAGGAACACCAGUGGCGAAGGCGACUACCUGGACUGAUACUGACACUGAGGUGCGAAAGCGUGGGGAGCAAACAGGAUUAGAAACCCUGGUAGUCC
Molecule: ribosomal RNA, 450 nt
Filed under: uncultured bacterium
Lineage: Bacteria
Description: bacterial SSU rRNA
Rfam family: Bacterial small subunit ribosomal RNA
Source: RNAcentral